AGAGUUUGAUCCUGGCUCAGAACGAACGCUGAUGGCGUGCCUCAUACAUGCAAGUCGAGCGCGUAGCAAUACGAGCGGCGAACGGGUGAGUAACGCGUGAACAAUCUGCCUUAAAGUGGGGGAUAACCAUUCCAACGGAUGGCUAAUACCGCAUAGGGUUUGGGGGUGGCAUCACUCCUUCACGAAAGCACUUAUGCGCUUUAAGAUGAGUUCGCGUCCCAUUAGCUAGUUGGCGGGGUAACGGCCCACCAAGGCAACGAUGGGUAGCCGGCCUGAGAGGGUGUCCGGCCACAUUGGGACUGAGAUACGGCCCAGACUCCUACGGGAGGCAGCAGUAGGGAAUUCUGCGCAAUGGGGGAAACCCUGACGCAGCAACGCCAUGUGUGGGAUGAAGCAUUUCGGUGUGUAAACCACUGUCGGCAGGGAAUAAAGUCCGCGCUUGCGCGGAGGUGAAUGUACCUGCAAAGGAAGCCCCGGCUAACUUCGUGCCAGCAGCCGCGGUAAUACGAGGGGGGCAAGUGCUGUUCGGAAUUACUGGGCGUAAAGGGAGCGUAGGCGGAUGUUUAAGUCGGAUGUUUAAAACCGGGGCCCAACCCCGGAGCGGCAUCCGAAACUGGGCAUCUUGAAUAGGUCAGAGGCUAGUGGAAUUGGAGGUGUAGCGGUGGAAUGCGUAGAGAUCUCCAAGAACACCCAUUGCGAAGGCAGCUAGCUGGGACCAUAUUGACGCUGAGGCUCGAAAGCAUGGGGAGCAAACAGGAUUAGAUACCCUGGUAGUCCAUGCCGUAAACGAUGAACACUAGGUUUUGGGCUCGUCAACGGUCCAGAGCCGCAGCUAACGCGUUAAGUGUUCCGCCUGGGGAAUACGGUCGCAAGACUGAAACUCAAAGGAAUUGACGGGGGCCCGCACAAGCGGUGGAGCAUGUGGUUUAAUUCGACGCAACGCGCAGAACCUUACCAGGACUUGACAUGGAAGUGACCGGACGAGAGAUCGUUCUUCUCCCGCAAGGGAGCACUUCACACAGGUGCUGCAUGGCUGUCGUCAGCUCGUGUCGUGAGAUGUUGGGUUAAGUCCCGCAACGAGCGCAACCCUCGUUUCUAGUUGCCAUCAUUCAGUUGGGCACUCUAGAGAGACUGCAAAAA
This 1140-nucleotide ribosomal RNA is filed under the name metagenome. RNAcentral's name for it is "bacterial SSU rRNA". It matches the Rfam family "Bacterial small subunit ribosomal RNA", at positions 8 to 1157 of the family's 1533-position model. The record is from RNAcentral.